UGGGGAAUCUUGCACAAUGGGCGCAAGCCUGAUGCAGCAACGCCGCGUGAGUGAAGAAGGCCCUUGGGUCGUAAAGCUCUUUCGGUUGGGAAGAAGGGCACUAUGAGUAACUGCUUAGUGUUUGACGGUACCAAAAGAAGAAGCACUGGCUAAUUCCGUGCCAGCAGCCGCGGUAAUACGGAAGGUGCAAGCGUUGUUCGGAUUGACUGGGCGUAAAGAGCACGUAGGCGGAUUUGUAAGUCGAAUGUGAAAUCCCUGGGCUUAACCCGGGAACUGCAUUCGAAACUGUGAAUCUUGAAUACCUGAGGGGUUGGGGGAAUUCCUGGUGUAGGAGUGAAAUCCGUAGAUAUCAGGAGGAAUACCAGAGGCGAAGGCGCCCAACUGGCAGAGUAUUGACGCUAAGGUGCGAAAGCGUGGGGAGCAAACAGG
Molecule: ribosomal RNA, 429 nt
Filed under: uncultured bacterium
Lineage: Bacteria
Description: bacterial SSU rRNA
Rfam family: Bacterial small subunit ribosomal RNA
Source: RNAcentral